AGACAGGUGCUGCAUGGCUGUCGUCAGCUCGUGUCGUGAGAUGUUGGGUUAAGUCCCGCAACGAGCGCAACCCUUGCCUUUAGUUGCCAGCAGUUCGGCUGGGCACUCUAAAGGGACUGCCGGUGUUAAACCGGAGGAAGUGGGGAUGACGUCAAGUCCUCAUGGCCUUUAUGACCAGGGCUACACACGUACUACAAUGGCCGAUACAAAGGGCAGCGACACUGCGAGGUGAAGCCAAUCCCGUAAAAUCGGUCUCAGUCCGGAUUGGAGUCUGCAACUCGACUCCAUGAAGUUGGAAUCGCUAGUAAUCGUGGAUCAGCAUGCCACGGUGAAUGCGUUCCCGGGCCUU
Molecule: ribosomal RNA, 349 nt
Filed under: uncultured Desulfobulbus sp.
Lineage: Bacteria; Pseudomonadati; Thermodesulfobacteriota; Desulfobulbia; Desulfobulbales; Desulfobulbaceae
Description: bacterial SSU rRNA
Rfam family: Bacterial small subunit ribosomal RNA
Source: RNAcentral